UGUAGAAAACCCUUCAAGUUUCAAUCUCGCAACUAACCUUGAGCAAGUAGCAUGGAUCGGUUCCAUUUUC
Non-coding RNA from Caenorhabditis elegans, 70 nucleotides. The record is from Ensembl. NCBI's taxonomy places the organism in Eukaryota, Metazoa, Nematoda, Chromadorea, Rhabditida, Rhabditidae.